This 662-nucleotide long non-coding RNA is filed under the name Malus domestica (apple). RNAcentral describes it as "long non-coding RNA (MDOM_LNC014911)". The record is from RNAcentral. Lineage: Eukaryota; Viridiplantae; Streptophyta; Magnoliopsida; Rosales; Rosaceae.
GUGAUGGGACUUUUAAUUUUUUUUAUGAAAAAUUUAGUAUUGAGAUGAUUAUAUCACAAAAAUAGAACUUGUUUACAAGCUUUAAUAAAAAAAAUUUAAAAAAAAAUAAAAGAUUUGAACAAAAACCUAAGGUCAUGAUUAAAACUAUUAACAUGAGGUUUUACUUUCAACAUAAUUAGAUAUUUCUCUAAAGUAACUGUAUAAAUCUUGUUUUAUAUGAAUUGACCAAAAUCAAGAAACUAGUUUUUAUAUGGUAAAACAAACGGCUAAUUAUUUCGAACAAAAAUUUAAGGUCAUGGUUGAAUAUUAUUACCAUGAGGUUUUACUUUCAACAUAAUUGGAUAUUGCUCUAAACUGGCAUCAACAUAUUUUGAACCCAUGGAAUGAUGGAAUUGUCAAACUUCACUUGCAAAUGCACAACAAACUCUUUAUUGUAAGAACUAGCAGACAAUAAAUAUAGGGGUGUAUUAUCCACACACCAUUUUUUACUUCUCAAUUCUCACACAUUCCUUAUUGAUUUCUAUCAUUUAAUUUCUUUAAUUCAGUCGAUCAGACGACAACAAAUUAAGAAAGUGUGUAUGAAGUAAAAAGUGGUGUUUGGAUAACAUACCCCCUAAAUAUAUACUCCUAAAAGUUCAGGACAGGCUUAGGUCUAGCCUCUA